UGGUGAGGCAGGCCUGCAGCUGGGAAGGAGGGGAGGAUGGGCAGUUUGUGCUGUGGAGCACAGUGGCCCAGCCGUGAGAGGGGUGUAGAAUGGAGCACGCAGAAUGGAGCACACAGAGUGGGCUGGGCAGGCUGGGCAGGGUGCUGAUUGACGGCUGCAGGGCUGCUCCCCAGGCGUGGGUAAUUGUCCCACGCAUCUGGAGGCAGGCUCUGUAUGAAUCUGGCUCUUUCCAUGGCUCUGAAAACAGUCUUCUUUUUUACCCCUGAUGAAAUCCUGCAGUCUGCUCCCAUGUACCAGUACCUGGAUAGGAAACUGUUCAAGGAAGCCUACCAGAUUGCUUGCUUGGGUGUCACCGACACUGAUUGGCGUGAACUGGCCAUGGAAGCUCUAGAAGGUUUAGAUUUUGAAACAGCAAAGAAGGCCUUCAUCAGAGUAUAAGACCUCCUCAUCAGCACUGAGGAGAGGAAGAAGCGGGGAGAGACCAACAAUGACCUGUUUCUGGCAGAUGUGUUUUCCUACCAGGGGAAGUUCCAUGAGGCCGCCAAACUGUACAAGAGGAGCGGGCAGCUUGAAAUGUGUUGGAAGAAAAGCUGAGUGUUAGGAGAGAAGCUGAGGCAGGGUUGCAUGUCUGCUAGACUUGCUGGCUCCUUGCUUCUAGCAUUCCCAUUAUCUCAAGCAGCCAUGUUUCUCAUUCACUUGAUACACCAUUUCCUUCCAACCCCCACAUCCUCACCACCUGUUUCUUUGUUUGAGCAACAAUAAAUACAAUAAAUAGUGUGGGCUCCCA
This is a non-coding RNA of Macaca mulatta (Rhesus monkey), 787 nucleotides long. NCBI's taxonomy places the organism in Eukaryota, Metazoa, Chordata, Mammalia, Primates, Cercopithecidae. The record is from RefSeq and is a predicted model, not a curated record.